CCUACGGGGGGCAGCAGUGAGGAAUAUUGGUCAAUGGACGAGAGUCUGAACCAGCCAAGUAGCGUGAAGGAUGACUGCCCUCUGGGUUGUAAACUUCUUUUAUAUGGGAAUAAAAUGUUCCACGUGUGGGAUUUUGUAUGUACCAUAUGAAUAAGGAUCGGCUAACUCCGUGCCAGCAGCCGCGGUAAUACGGAGGAUCCGAGCGUUAUCCGGAUUUAUUGGGUUUAAAGGGAGCGUAGGUGGAUUGUUAAGUCAGUUGUGAAAGUUUGCGGCUCAACCGUAAAAUUGCAGUUGAAACUGGCAGUCUUGAGUACAGUAGAGGUGGGCGGAAUUCGUGGUGUAGCGGUGAAAUGCUUAGAUAUCACGAAGAACUCCGAUUGCGAAGGCAGUUCACUGGACUGCAACUGACACUGAGGCUCGAAAGUGUGGGUAUCAAACAGGAUUAGAUACCCUUGUAGUC
RNAcentral lists this ribosomal RNA (460 nucleotides) under uncultured bacterium. RNAcentral describes it as "partial 16S ribosomal RNA". It matches the Rfam family "Bacterial small subunit ribosomal RNA", at positions 338 to 795 of the family's 1533-position model. The record is from RNAcentral.